Molecule: long non-coding RNA, 600 nt
Filed under: Patiria miniata (bat star)
Lineage: Eukaryota; Metazoa; Echinodermata; Asteroidea; Valvatida; Asterinidae
Description: uncharacterized LOC119722609, transcript variant X1
Source: RNAcentral
UCACGAAAAUGAUUCGGGGGCGCUGCCAUUUUCCCGACCGGUCUCCGACCGGUCUCCCGUCCCCAUCGCGCCUGUUGGCUGCGGGGGAUGCGGAACGGGGCCCGGCUAUUUUCGCCCCAUAUUUCCCAGAAUUCCUUUCCCCAUUGAGCCGGCCGCCAUCUUGCGUACGGGCCGGUGUCACGUGAAAAUUCGACUCCUAUGAAAAUCGGACCCCUAUUUCCCUAUUAUUGGUUGAUCCCUCGCACGUACGUGACAGGUCACUCUCCCAAAAUGAUCCUAAAAAUAGCACAGUAUCGUACUCACGCGUGCGCAGGACUACCAAUGAGUCCACAUUUCAUGGAGUCGGAUAUUCACGCUACACCUGUCGUGCCACGUAUACGUAUACGUUCGUAUAGAGGAGCAUGCGCUGCAGCGCAUGCAACGGUAUUCCAUGCAACAUGCAAAGCUGAAGGCAUGCUUGCCCCACAUUUUCUCAGCACUACUAGCUUCGUUUGAUGGUCGUUUGAUGCAUUGAUUAUGCUACAAUUUUCUCUUUCAAUGGACUCCCGAUGACACCCACAUCACAUGACCAGCUCCAACCAUGCUCCAAGCAUGCUCCAG